CACCACAACCAGUGCAGAUGUUCCUCAUCUUUGAAUGCCCCUGUCGAUCCUAUUCUUCAAGAGUUAUGCAUGAAGAGAAGCUGGAAAAUAGUGAAAAACAUAGUUCUUCCCAGUCAUUAGUUAUUCGGUACAGAUAUACAUGAAGAGAAGCUGGAAUUCGUUCCCAGUCAUUAGUUAUUUCUCUGCAAAUAAUGCUGUAGGCAUUGGCAAUAUCAACAAUGAGAACUCUGCAACAAAUUCAAAGAAUUUGAAAGUGAAGGUUUAUUGUCGUGUUGCAGAACGUGGCCUUUAUCUUUUAUCUGAAGGACAGUCAUAUUAUGGAUUUGACAAUGUAUAAUGUCAAUAUUCUUCUUAUUUUUCAUUACGGCUCAUGCUAAUGAUCCAGACUGGAGAUGGAACCAACCAUUUAGCAUUUUAAGGUUGUUUUUCCCGCCAUGUUAUUUCGAAAAUGGUUGUUUAUUCCGAGUACUUGCAUUAUUAUAAUGUAUUGGUAUAAAGUGGUGAGGUGUGGGAGGAGUAGCGAUAAUCAAGCUUUGGAGAGGACAUCAAGAGUUGAACCAUAUGGUGUGUCUGCACAACACCCAUUGAAGCUUUCUCUUCCGUUCAGACUUCAUAUGCUACCUGCCAAGUUUAGCCACAGGCUCGCAUUGGAUAUGUGAUUUUUUGUUACAAUUUCCCUUUGUUGAUAUGGAAGCAAAUGAGUGAAGUAUUUAACCGUCACCGGAAGCUUGAUCGUCAUGCUGAUAGUCUGUCAGAUGUGUCAAUCAGACAUACAUUUUAGUUCGUGGAGCCGUCUCCUCAGUCCAGCUCAACUUGAGAGAAUGGGUUCAUGAUAUACUUUUUCUUAUGCACCUAGGAUUAUAUGCAGAUUGGAUUCUAUAUGUUUAUUCAUUAAUACUUAUCCUAAAAGUAUGACCCAUCCAGGUUUAAGGGGCAUUGGCACACCAUUGACAUCUCAUGGCAGAGCAAUGCUAUGCAUCCACUGGUUAUAGAGAGAUCUGAGGUUGUGACUUCCUUACCCUAGCAUUACAUUUCUUUUAGUUGUCUUGCGAUUUAGUACUUCAUUUUGGU
Lolium rigidum is the source of this 1071-nucleotide long non-coding RNA. RefSeq lists it as uncharacterized. The transcript is spliced from 4 exons. The record is from RefSeq and is a predicted model, not a curated record. Lineage: Eukaryota; Viridiplantae; Streptophyta; Magnoliopsida; Poales; Poaceae.